RNAcentral lists this unclassified non-coding RNA (171 nucleotides) under uncultured Rozellomycota. Its description in RNAcentral is "uncultured Cryptomycota sequence contains ITS1". The record is from RNAcentral. Lineage: Eukaryota; Fungi; Rozellomycota.
UGUAUACCUGGUUAGGCGUAAGCCAAACCAAACCAUGUGUGAAUCAGUGUUCUCUUCCCGGCGGAAGCUUUUGGCGUCUGGGCUUGCCUGGAUUGCCUGGGUGACGGCUGGGGUUUUGCCUCGCAAGAGGUUAACAAGUUAAAUAGCAGGGAACUCAAAAGUAACAAAUUA